AACGAAAUUGUCAUUCGUCAUUGUGCCUCCUUUAUCAUGUACUUCUAAACUGUUAAACUAAACUCAGUUUUGUCUGACGAAACUAAACGAUAUAAUGACAAAAGAUAUCUCCUAUGAAAUGUAAUGAUCAAAGUUCAUUUGGUGAUAUAUCAAAUAAGGGGAUAAUAUACAAAAGUAAAUGCACAAUGUCAAAAGUUUUAAGCAUCUAUUUCUUAUUAUCACAUCGAAGAACAUUACAAUCUUUCUGAAAGGUACACAUUGAUUUUAUCAAUUUUAUCAGCAUAGUUCGUAUCAACAACAUCAGGUUGUAAAAUAUUAAUUGAUAAUAAAAAAAAAAAAAAAAAAAUAAAAAUAAUAUUUAUAAUAAGAUAUAAUUUAAAUGUACCGGUAUGCAAUAAUAAAUAAUUUUAUUACAUUUUUAGGAAAUCUUUGAAACGAAACUACAUUAUUUAUACAACAAAACAAAAGAUAACAUUUUACCAAAAAUAUCAUCUACUUAAAUAUUAAAACAAAAAAAAAAAAAAAAAAAUAAAAAGCCAUAAGCAAGUACUGUAAGAUA
Vespa crabro (European hornet) is the source of this 559-nucleotide long non-coding RNA. RefSeq lists it as uncharacterized. NCBI's taxonomy places the organism in Eukaryota, Metazoa, Arthropoda, Insecta, Hymenoptera, Vespidae. The record is from RefSeq and is a predicted model, not a curated record. The transcript is spliced from 2 exons.